GAUGAACGCUAGCUACAGGCUUAACACAUGCAAGUCGAGGGGCAGCACAGUGUAGCAAUACACGGGUGGCGACCGGCGCACGGGUGCGUAACGCGUAUCCAACCUUCCCGUUACUCUUGGAUAGCCUUCCGAAAGGGAGAUUAAUACCUGAUGGUGUUCAAAUUCCGCAUGUUAUUUGAACUAAAGAUUUAUCGGUAACGGAUGGGGAUGCGUGACAUUAGGUAGAUGGCGGGGUAACGGCCCACCAUGCCUACGAUGUCUAGGGGUUCUGAGAGGAAGGUCCCCCACACUGGAACUGAGACACGGUCCAGACUCCUACGGGAGGCAGCAGUGGGGGAAUAUUGGGCAAUGGGCGCAAGCCUGACCCAGCAACGCCGCG
RNAcentral lists this ribosomal RNA (379 nucleotides) under uncultured bacterium. RNAcentral describes it as "bacterial SSU rRNA". It matches the Rfam family "Bacterial small subunit ribosomal RNA", at positions 28 to 401 of the family's 1533-position model. The record is from RNAcentral.